GCUAUGGUAUAACUUAGUGGCAGACGGGUGAGUAAUGUAUAGGAAUCUACCUAGUAGUACGGAAUAAUUGUUGGAAACGACAACUAAUACCGUAUACGCCCUACGGGGGAAAAAUUUAUUGCUAUUAGAUGAGCCUAUAUUAGAUUAGCUAGUUGGUGGGGUAAUAGCCUACCAAGGUAAUGAUCUAUAGCUGAUCUGAGAGGAUGAUCAGCCACACUGGAACUGAGAUACGGUCCAGACUCCUACGGGAGGCAGCAGUGGGGAAUAUUGGACAAUGGGCGAAAGCCUGAUCCAGCCAUGCCGCAUGAGUGAAGAAGGCCUUUGGGUUGUAAAGCUCUUUUAGUGAGGAAGAUAAUGACGGUACUCACAGAAGAAGUCCUGGCUAACUCCGUGCCAGCAGCCGCGGUAAUACGGAGAGGGCUAGCGUUAUUCGGAAUUAUUGGGCGUAAAGGGCGCGUAGGCUGGUUAAUAAGUUAAAAGUGAAAUCCCGAGGCUUAACCUUGGAAUUGCUUUUAAAACUAUUAAUCUAGAGAUUGAAAGAGGAUAGAGGAAUUCCUGAUGUAGAGGUAAAAUUCGUAAAUAUUAGGAGGAACACCAGUGGCGAAGGCGUCUAUCUGGUUCAAAUCUGACGCUGAAGCGCGAAGGCGUGGGGAGCAAACAGGAUUAGAUACCCUGGUAGUCCACGCUGUAAACGAUGAAUGUUAAAUAUGGGGAGUUUACUUUCUGUAUUACAGCUAACGCGUUAAACAUUCCGCCUGGGGACUACGGUCGCAAGAUUAAAACUCAAAGGAAUUGACGGGGACCCGCACAAGCGGUGGAGCAUGUGGUUUAAUUCGAUGCAACGCGAAAAACCUUACCACUUC
Molecule: ribosomal RNA, 863 nt
Filed under: Wolbachia sp.
Lineage: Bacteria; Pseudomonadati; Pseudomonadota; Alphaproteobacteria; Rickettsiales; Anaplasmataceae
Description: bacterial SSU rRNA
Rfam family: Bacterial small subunit ribosomal RNA
Source: RNAcentral